This 1401-nucleotide ribosomal RNA is filed under the name uncultured bacterium. RNAcentral describes it as "bacterial SSU rRNA". It matches the Rfam family "Bacterial small subunit ribosomal RNA". The record is from RNAcentral.
AGAGUUUGAUCCUGGCUCAGGAUAAACGCUGGCGGCGUGCCUAACACAUGCAAGUCGAACGUCCUACGCAAGUAGGGAGUGGCGGACGGGUGAGUACCACGUGGGCAAUCUACCUUUGGGUGAGGAAUACCGGCGAGAAAUCGCCGACAAUACCGCAUACACUCGGGCAACCGAGUAAAGUCGCAAGACGCCCGAGGAGGAACCUGCGCCCGAUUAGCUAGUUGGUGGGGUAAGAGCUUACCAAGGCGACGAUCGGUAGCUGGUCUGAGAGGAUGAUCAGCCACACUGGGAUUGAGAACGGCCCAGACUCCUACGGGGGGCAGCAGUGAGGAAUUUUCGUCAAUGGGGGCAACCCUGAACGAGCAACGCCGCGUGCAGGAAGACGCUUUUCGGAGUGUAAACUGCUUUUCUCGGGGAAGAGAACGGACGGUACCCGAGGAAGAAGCCUCGGCUAACUACGUGCCAGCAGCCGCGGUAAUACGUAGGAGGCGAGCGUUGUCCGGAGUUACUGGGCGUAAAGCGCACGCAGGCGGUGCACCAAGUCUGGAGUGACAGCGCUCGGCUUAACCGAGCAGGGUCUUUGGAAACUGGUGGACUUGAGGGCUUCAGAGGAAUGCGGAACUCCGGGUGGAGUGGUGAAAUGCGUAGAUAUCCGGAAGAACACCAAAGGCGAAGGCAGCAUUCUGGGAAGUACCUGACGCUCAGGUGCGAAAGCCAGGGGAGCGAACGGGAUUAGAUACCCCGGUAGUCCUGGCCGUAAACGAUGACCACUAGACGUUGGGGGUAUCGACCCCCUCAGUGUCGAAGCUAACGCGAGAAGUGGUCCGCCUGGGGAGUACGGUCGCAAGAUUAAAACUCAAAGGAAUUGACGGGGACCCGCACAAGCAGCGGAGCGUGUGGUUUAAUUCGAUGCAACGCGAAGAACCUUACCAAAGCUUGACAUGCUCUUGCACCAGCCGUAAUGGGCUGUCCUCUUCGGAGGCGGGAGCACAGGUGCUGCAUGGCUGUCGUCAGCUCGUGUCGUGAGAUGUUGGGUUCAGUCACGCAACGAGCGCAACCCCUGUCGGAUGUUAUCAGUCAUCCGAGACCGCCGCGAUGAACGUGGAGGAAGGAGGGGAUGACGUCAAGUCAGCACGGCCCUUACGCUUUGGGCGACACACACGCUACAAUGGUCGGGACAAAGGGCAGCGAACCAGCGAUGGGGAGCUAAUCCUGUCAAACCCGGCCUCAGUUCAGAUUGGAGGCUGCAACUCGCCUCCAUGAAGUCGGAGUUGCUAGUAACCGUGGGUCAGCACACCACGGUGAAUACGUUCCCGGGUCUUGUACACACCGCCCGUCACACCACGAAAGUCGGCAACACCUGAAGCCGUCKGGCUAACUCGCGAGAGAGGCWGGYGUCGA